This is a small nucleolar RNA of Nematolebias whitei (Rio pearlfish), 216 nucleotides long. RefSeq annotates it as small nucleolar RNA U3. The record is from RefSeq and is a predicted model, not a curated record. The transcript has a single exon. NCBI's taxonomy places the organism in Eukaryota, Metazoa, Chordata, Actinopteri, Cyprinodontiformes, Rivulidae.
AAGACUAUACUUUCAGGGAUCAUUUCUAUAGUUCAUAACUUGAGAAAUGUGUUUCUAAAGUGUUUGGUCUCGCCAACCACGAUGAAGAGUUAAUGAUACUCUUCCCUGAGCGCGAAGCGGAUACAGACUAUGACUUACGUCAUUUGGUCUGUAUCUUUGAUGACCGUUCACUGCUUCUACACGGAGCAUUGAGGGGAAGAGUAUGAUCAGAGUGGU